CCUACGGGAGGCUGCAGUGGGGAAUAUUGGGCAAUGGGCGCAAGCCUGACCCAGCAACGCCGCGUGAAGGAAGAAGGCUUUCGGGUUGUAAACUUCUUUUAAGCGGGACGAACAAAUGACGUUACCCCUUUAAUAAGCCACGGCUAACUACGUGCCAUCAGCCGCGGUAAUACGUAGGUGGCAAGCGUUAUCCGGAUUUAUUGGGUGUAAAGGGCGUGUAGGCGGGAGCGCAAGUCAGAUGUGAAAACUCAGUGCUCAACCCUGAGCCUGCAUUUGAAACUGUGUUUCUUGAGUGCUGGAGAGGCACGCGGAAUGCGGUGUGUAGCGGUGAAAUGCGUAGAUAUACGGAGGAACACCAGUGGCGAAGGCGGAUUGCUGGACAGUAACUGACGCUGAGGCGCGAAAGCGUGGGGAGCAAACAGGAUUAGAUACCCGAGUAGUC
Molecule: ribosomal RNA, 442 nt
Filed under: uncultured bacterium
Lineage: Bacteria
Description: partial 16S ribosomal RNA
Rfam family: Bacterial small subunit ribosomal RNA
Source: RNAcentral